AAAACAAAACAAACCUUCCCUGGCAGCUCAAAAGCCUUCCUGUGUCUGUCUGAGGUCUGUAAAGUGUGAGACGUUGACACACGGUAAUGAGGGGAGCACCUGGAUUUGGCCCCUGGGCACGGCUGAUGUGGCUCCUGGCUGACCUAGGAUGAAGGACAGCAAGAUGGGACUGAUGCAGUUGGGUUUCUCCGGUAGUCGCUCCAGCAUGCAUGGCAAGAAACAAGGGGAAAAACAGUAUUGGAGGUCAUCUUGGAGAGCAAGAAAACCAGGAGUGGACAGUGAAAGAGGGCAAAAGCAGAAGAGGCAAUGUAAAUAGUAC
Molecule: long non-coding RNA, 319 nt
Organism: Hypomesus transpacificus
Lineage: Eukaryota; Metazoa; Chordata; Actinopteri; Osmeriformes; Osmeridae
Exons: 4
Source: RefSeq, a predicted model, not a curated record